AUUGCAGGUGGUGGCUUUGCCUUGGCCGAGGCCAGCCGACAAAGUGGACUUAACAUAAUGAUCGCCAAGGCCAUGCAAGUCCUCAACGGAUUGCCGAGUAUGGUGUUGCAGUUGAUUACGCUUGUAAUGUCCAAUUUUUUCUCGUCUUUCAACGCCAAUGUUGUUGUGGCGAACAUUGUCCUACCAGUUCUAUGCGAAAUGGCCCUUGCCCUGGAAAUGCAUCCUUUAAUUUUAACUCUACCAGCUUGUUUGGCAAUUAGCAUGGUCUACUUUUUACCCGUGAGCACGCCCCCAAAUGCUAUUGUUACCCAAUAUGCACAUAUUAAGACAAAAUACUUUGCGUGCUGCGGUAUUUUGCCCACCUUUAUCGGGCUUUUCGUGUCAAUGCUGAACACGAAUACAUGGGGAAUGCUAAUUUUUCCAGAAGCGAGUAGCUUUCCAGAUUGGGCAAAGGAAAUUAAGAAUCGUACAAAAAUUUAAUGAUGGAAUAUAUAAAUAUACCCCGUACAUACCUCUUCAGUUAAAGGUCAUACCUUUUUAUUAUUUAGGUAUUCUAUAAAAAUUACGUAUUCGACCUUAAGAAGUACGCAAGAAUGUCAUGUAUGUUAUAUCUGUAAUGAGUAUCUGAUAACCAAGGCAAUCCCUCGGCUACAUUCGUGCCAUCGAUUUCAUUGAUUUGUUCGAACUUUAUUCUUGGCAUAGAGUCGGCCAUGAUAUAUCUGUUUGGUUUUUAAAGCGAGAAAUUCUUUACAAUCGUACUAGAAGAGAAACAAAAUGGGAGAUGCCGACGGAAAACUUGAAGGCGGCCAGGCCGUAAAGAGAUGUUGCGGCUUCCAUUGGAGGGGCAAGGCAACCGUCAUAAUUCCUCUCAUCACAUUGCCGUUACUGAUCUAUGGGAUCCUGGAGAAUAACUUGGCAUAUGUGUGCAUGUAUCUGAUGG
This 940-nucleotide unclassified non-coding RNA is filed under the name Drosophila yakuba. RNAcentral describes it as "GE27398". The record is from RNAcentral. Lineage: Eukaryota; Metazoa; Arthropoda; Insecta; Diptera; Drosophilidae.